This is a long non-coding RNA of Sorex fumeus (smoky shrew), 1341 nucleotides long. RefSeq lists it as uncharacterized. The record is from RefSeq and is a predicted model, not a curated record. Lineage: Eukaryota; Metazoa; Chordata; Mammalia; Eulipotyphla; Soricidae. The transcript has 3 exons.
CCUCACCUUCAGGAUCUCCCCAGAGUUCUCUCCAGAGACCAAGCUCAGGCCACUUGGAGGCCUCUGACAGAUUUCCAGGAAUGUGCUCAUUCUCCCAGAACACCAUACUUGAACAGAGGUGAGCCCAGGGUCAACUCAAUGCGGAUAUAUCAUGGUGCUCAACGUGCUUUGGGGAAGCAGAAAAUUCAUCCUCAACUAGAAGCUGACCCUUCCCCUCUUCCCCGAAAAAAUCAACUCAGGAAACGUUCAGCUAUGAGAUGAAAUCUGGCAUUUUGCGACAAUAUGGACAAUGGGAGGAGAGAUCAUCUAAGGCUGCAGACACUUGCAGGGGGCCCGUCAAUAAUCAGGGAAGGACAGCAGGGGACUCACCUUGGUCGCCAGGAGCCUGUUCCUUAGCCACUCCUCCCUGGCCCAGAGGCAGAGAGAACACAAGGAUCAAAGCAUCGGACAGAUAGCCAACUCUUUUAGCCCCAAGAACUGUGGCCAACGACUUUUCAGAAAUGACAGCCUGGUACCACUUGGGGGCUGGACCCAUCAUGCGAAACGGGCCACCACCUGCACACAGCACUUUCGUACAGAGUCGGAGGAGCACUUGACAUGGAUUCCAAAUUUAGGUGCUGGAUCAACUUACCCAAACAUGACUGCAGAUUUCCCUAAGCAGUAUGAAUUUGAAUGGCCACAGGACACAAUCAAGUUUAAAAGCAGCACAUCUAUUAAAACUGAAACAAUACAGAAAAGAUUAGCAUGACCCCUGGGAAAGGAUGAUACUCAAAUUUGUGAAGUGCUCCAUAUUUUUAAAACUCAGGUAUGUGGGUUUUGUGACCAAAAUCUCCAGGCUCUCAAAGUUGGGAAUGGGUGACCUCCCCUCACCCCCUGUUCUUCUGGGAACCUGGAAGUCACCCACAAACUGCCUCUGGUACCAUAUAAGCUCAAUAACCGGCCAUGAUCCAGAGACACAUAUAUAAAUCUCGGAAGAGAUCAACAAGCAGCAGAGAUGCCUCUGGACCCCAAAGUCACCAUCCAGUUCAAAAGUUCAACUCCAGCUGUUCCACCUUAUUUAAAAUUUUAGAUUUCCUGGUGCGCUAUACUAUACUCAUACUCUAUACCACUGAUAUACCAGGAAUAGCACACCACACUGGAUGGAUGUAAAGAAGAAAGCAACCGAUCUCAGUUAAAAAAUAAUAUGUUAGUAAUGUCUUCAAUAAGAGCUUAAUGGCUCCAGGGAGAUACAACAAUUGUCACAUAUUCUUCAAAGGAAACCUUUUUUUGAUCAUUUUUAGCAAAUUAUUCAUGACAAGCAAUAACUGACUUAUUUAGGGCCUGCUUUGAGAAAGGCUUGGA